GAUUGAACGCUGGCGGCAUGCCUUACACAUGCAAGUCGAACGGCAGCACGGGGCAACCUGGUGGCGAGUGGCGAACGGGUGAGUAAUGCAUCGGAACGUGCCAUUGAGUGGGGGAUAACGUAGCGAAAGUUGCGCUAAUACCGCAUAUUCUGUGAGCAGGAAAGCAGGGGACCGCAAGGCCUUGCGCUCUUUGAGCGGCCGAUGUCAGAUUAGCUAGUUGGUGAGGUAACGGCUUACCAAGGCGACGAUCUGUAGCGGGUCUGAGAGGAUGAUCCGCCACACUGGAACUGAGACACGGUCCAGACUCCUACGGGAGGCAGCAGUGGGGAAUUUUGGACAAUGGGCGCAAGCCUGAUCCAGCCAUGCCGCGUGAGUGAAGAAGGCCUUCGGGUUGUAAAGCUCUUUCGGCCGGGAAGAAAUCGCAUGGGUUAAUACCCUGUGUGGAUGACGGUACCGGAAUAAGAAGCACCGGCUAACUACGUGCCAGCAGCCGCGGUAAUACGUAGGGUGCGAGCGUUAAUCGGAAUUACUGGGCGUAAAGCGUGCGCAGGCGGUUUUGUAAGACAGGCGUGAAAUCCCCGGGCUUAACCUGGGAACUGCGCUUGUGACUGCAAGGCUAGAGUACGGCAGAGGGGGGUGGAAUUCCACGUGUAGCAGUGAAAUGCGUAGAGAUGUGGAGGAACACCAAUGGCGAAGGCAGCCCCCUGGGUCGAUACUGACGCUCAUGCACGAAAGCGUGGGUAGCAAACAGGAUUAGAUACCCUGGUAGUCCACGCCCUAAACUAUGUCAACUAGGUGUUGGGUGGGUAAAACCAUUUAGUACCGUAGCUAACGCGUGAAGUUGACCGCCUGGGGAGUACGGCCGCAAGGUUAAAACUCAAAGGAAUUGACGGGGACCCGCACAAGCGGUGGAUGAUGUGGAUUAAUUCGAUGCAACGCGAAAAACCUUACCCACCUUUGACAUGGCAGGAAUUCCGAAGAGAUUUGGAAGUGCUCGAAAGAGAACCUGCACACAGGUGCUGCAUGGCUGUCGUCAGCUCGUGUCGUGAGAUGUUGGGUUAAGUCCCGCAACGAGCGCAACCCUUGCCAUUAGUUGCUACGAAAGGGCACUCUAAUGGGACUGCCGGUGACAAACCGGAGGAAGGUGGGGAUGACGUCAAGUCCUCAUGGCCCUUAUAGGUGGGGCUACACACGUCAUACAAUGGCCGGUACAAAGGGUAGCCAACCCGCGAGGGGGAGCCAAUCCCAUAAAGCCGGUCGUAGUCCGGAUCGCAGUCUGCAACUCGACUGCGUGAAGUCGGAAUCGCUAGUAAUCGUGGAUCAGCAUGUCACGGUGAAUACGUUCCCGGGUCU
RNAcentral lists this ribosomal RNA (1353 nucleotides) under uncultured bacterium. RNAcentral describes it as "16S ribosomal RNA". It matches the Rfam family "Bacterial small subunit ribosomal RNA", at positions 27 to 1381 of the family's 1533-position model. The record is from RNAcentral.